RNAcentral lists this ribosomal RNA (497 nucleotides) under uncultured bacterium. RNAcentral's name for it is "partial 16S ribosomal RNA". It matches the Rfam family "Bacterial small subunit ribosomal RNA", at positions 28 to 507 of the family's 1533-position model. The record is from RNAcentral.
GAUGAACGCUGGCGGCGUGCCUAAUACAUGCAAGUCGAGCGAACAGACGAGGAGCUUGCUCCUCUGACGUUAGCGGCGGACGGGUGAGUAACACGUGGAUAACCUACCUAUAAGACUGGGAUAACUUCGGGAAACCGGAGCUAAUACCGGAUAAUAUAUUGAACCGCAUGGUUCAAUAGUGAAAGACGGUUUUGCUGUCACCUAUAGAUGGAUCCGCGCCGCAUUAGCUAGUUGGUAAGGUAACGGCUUACCAAGGCGACGAUGCGUAGCCGACCUGAGAGGGUGAUCGGCCACACUGGAACUGAGACACGGUCCAGACUCCUACGAGAGGCAGCAGUAGGGAAUCUUCCGCAAUGGGCGAAAGCCUGACGGAGCAGCGCCGCGUGAGUGAUGAAGGUCUUCGGAUCUUAAAACUCUGUUAUUAGGGAAGAACAAAUGUGUAAGUAACUAUGCACGUCUUGACGGUACCUAAUCAGAAAGCCACGGCUAACUACGUG